UUUCUUUUUUUUUUUUAUAUUUUUUUUGGUGCUGUUUGAUAAAAUUUGAAGUAUAGAGAGGUGUUCUUUUGAAAGAAGAUGAGUAAGCAGACCAGGCUAGUGUUUAAAUGGAUGAUGAUGAUUAAAGUUGGAUGAAGAAAAGUACCAUAUAUUACAGAAAAAAUAAUGUAGCUUUGUUUAGUGAAUAUUUCCCUAACACAAGAGAUGAAGUGAAAGCUCAUGGGGUAACGUUUAGCCAAGGAUAUGUAACAAUAUAGGCUGAUGAAGGGCAGGUCCACAACAAUUUAAAAUUUAAAAUUAAAAAAAAAAAUGCAUUUAUAAUUCGAAUAUAAAUCGAAUAUUUUUUUUACUCUAUUUUUAAAUAAAAUAAAAAAAAAAAAAAACAAGCCAUAUUUUUAAAAUGUAGUCGAUUUUCCUGUCAUCUCCACAGCCAAAGCCCCCUUUCACCAUUUUUCUGCAUAAGAUAUUUGAUCAUCUUAUGCAAAUCAACAGAACAAAUGCAACAAUAAGAAUGUAGGAUGAUUAUUUUAACAAGCAUAUACUGGAGAGUUUAAAUAUGCAAAUUACAUAUGUCUUAGUAUCUUAAUCAAUAAUAAUAAUUAAAGUUUUAAUUAAUUAGCUCUAGGAAAGGUAGUACAUGGAAUUUGGCAACUUGAAGGUUCUUUUAGUAGUGGGGAGACCUGCAAAACUGCUCCACUGAUCUCCAAUGAUUCCCCAAAUGCGGUACCCUUCAUCCAUCAAUCUUUUUCUUGCUGAAGCUUUGUAUUCUUGCACUCUUGUGAGUUCAUCUUCAAGACCCCUGUAGUAAAAUAGAAUAUUAGGGCUGUGCAAUCGGCCAGUUCUAUUUCGAAUCAAAUGGAAUUGUAUAUGAUCAUUUUGUUACUGAUACAAAAAGGAAUAAAGAUCAUUUGCUUAAGGUUAAAACUUGUUGAUAAUGGUGAGUGGACAUACCUUAAUAUGAGACUAGACCAUCCAUGAUACCCAACAUUGAUAAGGUUAUCCACAGUAGCAGAUCUUAGGGUUUCACUUCUUGAGGAGAUAAGAAAGAUUUUGACCCCUUUAUUUUUGAUCUCAUGGAAAAGAUUGAAGGUGUGAUCUAGAGCUGGUGCCUUGCUUUCUUUCAUCCAUUCUUCCAACAAGGUUGUAUUCAACUUCUCUCCCCCAAAAUUAUGUUUCUUGUAGAAAGGAAUGGUAGACAAAAGGGUAUCAUCAACAUCAAAAAUCCAAGCAUCUUUACCAUCACCUUCCAGAGUGCAGCAACUGCUGAGAUAGAGUCUCACCUCUUCAAUUGCUCUCUCAGAGUCUGCUUCAUACUGAGAAGAUGUCAUGUAAUGCUUGAUGUAAGCCACACAUUCCUGAGGCACAACCUCAAAUUCCCUAAUGUUGUUUAGUUCCACAUUAAUCCUCCAACUUUCACAAUAGUUCUUCAAGCUAGACUUCAAUCCAUAAUGUUUCCUUUUCUGCUUCAAAAUGUUCCAAUCUGCUGCAACUAGUCCAAUGCAGAGGCUUGUCAAAGCCAAUGUGAGCACAAGAUUUCUUCCCAUUUGCAGAGGAAAGAGAGAGAGAGAUCAAUUUCUUAUUUUUGGUAGAAUGGGAUUUAGAUAUUUGAUUGAUUAAAU
RNAcentral lists this unclassified non-coding RNA (1619 nucleotides) under Hevea brasiliensis (rubber tree). Lineage: Eukaryota; Viridiplantae; Streptophyta; Magnoliopsida; Malpighiales; Euphorbiaceae. The record is from RNAcentral.